AGAGAACGUCUCAUAAAGUCACCUAACGACUCUGAAAAAUGCAGACUUUCCUCUUUCCACCCGUGUUUACCUCUCGGUUAUUUGGUGGAGAGAAAGGGAAGAACUGAGCUGCAGCAGAGAGGAGUUCUUAUCUUCAGACUGUCGGACGACCAGACAAACCUUGACAGCGACGACAAAUCUUGUCCCGUUCUUCUGACUCCUCGUCUAUCAAACACACCCUCGACUAACCCUGAAGCCUUGUGGAGAGAUUUAUGAGCUCUUGCUGGAUUUCCUGCAUACCAACAUGUUCAUACAUCAAGCGUAUAUGGAGGGAUUUCCUCUCUGACACCUCUGUUUGGUGGCUUGCCAAAGUGGAAAUUUGACAUCUUUACAUUUCCUUACAACUCGCUGAUGUUGGCCCAGAAAGGACUUCGGAUGCAGGUCCCGACUUACAUGAUGUCAUCACACGAGACGAUGAACACCGGUUACAGCUGUCGGCUGAGUCGGGCUAAUGGGUCCUGAUGCGAUGAGGCAGAACUGCGUAUGUGUUCCAGGCAACAACGUCCAUAUGGUGAGAAAAAAGUGGAGGCCAUACGUCCGUCAGCGCCGUCUGCAGCGCUUCCUCGCAGGGAAACAAGCAAACCUGAUGAUUCCUGCUGGAACCAGUUGCUUAAAGCUGCUUUCUCUCGUGACCACCUCUGGAUUUUUUCUGUCUGGCUGUUAAUCCGGUCGUCUCAGGGCUCCUUGCUUCGAGACUCCAGUGUUCCUCUCCAUCUUUGGUUGACGGUUUGAGAGUUUGGCAGAGGGACGGCGAUACAAAAAGGUUCUCGAGACGACAGAUCGUCUUCAUCCCCUUCCGUCAAAGCCAGCAGGCUGCGUGAAAAAGCACAAGGCCUGGCGAAAGGCUCUCGCAAAGAAAAUCAUUUAGCCUCUCUUGCUUUUCCGUCGGAGCUCUUGACUGUGUCUCGCUGGAACUGGCACGAGUGAUUGACAGAUAGCAGCGGAGUGAAAUCAUGAGGCAGCUUAAUUGGCUGUAAAAUCUAAAGCCGCCGCCAGCAGCUCUGUGAGGCUGAACACGGGCGAAGCUGUGCUUUUAACA
Acanthopagrus latus (yellowfin seabream) is the source of this 1078-nucleotide long non-coding RNA. RefSeq lists it as uncharacterized. Lineage: Eukaryota; Metazoa; Chordata; Actinopteri; Spariformes; Sparidae. The record is from RefSeq and is a predicted model, not a curated record. The transcript has 3 exons.